CGGAACUUCGCUUCGGUCAUUUUGCCACAGUGGGCGAGAGGAGCAGGGUUGAUGCGUUUCUAGCGUUGAACCAGCAGCAGCAGCUCAGACCAGGGUUCUGCUGGUUGGACAGAAAAUGGUCCUCCCAGCCACCGUAGAGGCUCGGUUGACCUUUACCGAUAUAUUAAGGAGAAGAAGAAAGGCGAGAAUCUCCUCAGGCUGAAUGUCUUCCUGGUGAUUUUCUUGCCAAACGAUGAAGCUGCUGGGUUUUCUCCGCUCAUCUAACUGGUAGAGGAGUUUCUGCAGGAAGGCCUUUCAGUAUUGGAGGCAUGCAGGUGGUGAAACGUUGCAACCUGCUGGGUCGUCUCCAGUGGUUCCAGACCUCAUGCAGCUGAUGAUGGACGGAUUCGGUGAGGACGACUGCUGCUGGUCCCUUUGAUUGUUUUGCAAUUUAUUAAUAAAGUCUGAAAGUUAAA
Molecule: long non-coding RNA, 455 nt
Organism: Poeciliopsis prolifica (blackstripe livebearer)
Lineage: Eukaryota; Metazoa; Chordata; Actinopteri; Cyprinodontiformes; Poeciliidae
Exons: 7
Source: RefSeq, a predicted model, not a curated record